CCAAUAGCGUAUAUUAAAGUUGUUGCAGUUAAAAAGCUCGUAGUUGAAUUUCGGGAUUAAUUUACUGGUCGUGCUAUUGUACGUACUGGUUUUAUUGAUUCCUCCCUUCUGACGAACUAUGAUGUCAUUAAUUUGGUGUCAUAGGGAAUCAGGACUGUUACUUUGAAAAAAUUAGAGUGUUUAAAGCAGGCUCACGCUUGAAUACAUUAGCAUGGAAUAACGGAAUAGGACGUUUGAUUCUAUUUUGUUGGUUUCUAGGAUCGACGUAAUGAUUAAUAGGGAUAGUUGGGGGCAUUAGUAUUCAAUUGUCAGAGGUGAAAUUCUUGGAUUUAUUGAAGACUAACUACUGCGAAAGCAUUUGCCAAGGAUGUUUUCAUUAAUCAAGAACGAAAGUUAGGGGAUCGAAGACGAUCAGAUACCGUCGUAGUCUUAACCAUAAACUAUGCCGACUAGGGAUCGGAUGAUGUUAAUUUUUUAAUGACUCAUUCGGCGCCUUACG
RNAcentral lists this ribosomal RNA (499 nucleotides) under uncultured Glomeromycotina. RNAcentral describes it as "partial small subunit ribosomal RNA". It matches the Rfam family "Eukaryotic small subunit ribosomal RNA", at positions 591 to 1092 of the family's 1831-position model. Lineage: Eukaryota; Fungi; Glomeromycota. The record is from RNAcentral.